CAUUUGGCUUUUUUAAAAGCCAAAUAUAUUUGGUUUUAAUCUUUA
Dipodomys ordii (Ord's kangaroo rat) is the source of this 45-nucleotide non-coding RNA. The record is from Rfam. NCBI's taxonomy places the organism in Eukaryota, Metazoa, Chordata, Mammalia, Rodentia, Heteromyidae.